Molecule: unclassified non-coding RNA, 316 nt
Filed under: Tomentella fuscocinerea
Lineage: Eukaryota; Fungi; Basidiomycota; Agaricomycetes; Thelephorales; Thelephoraceae
Description: sequence contains 5.8S rRNA gene
Source: RNAcentral
GAACGCACCUUGCGCCCUUUGGCUAUUCCGAAGGGCAUGCCUGUUUGAGUAUCAUGAACACCUCAACUCUCAUGGUUUGCCAUGAUGAGCUUGGACUUUGGAGGUCUUGCCGGCCUGCGGUCGGCUCCUCUCAAAUGGAUCAGCUUGCCAGUGUUUGGUGGCAUCAUGGGUGUGAUAACUAUCUACGCCUGUGGUUUUCCACCAGAUAACCUUCAGUGAUGGAGGUUCGCUGGAGCUCAUAAAUGUCUCUCCUCAGUGAAGACAGCUUUUUGAACGUUUGAUCUCAAAUCAGGUAGGACUACCCGCUGAACUUAAG